RNAcentral lists this ribosomal RNA (2285 nucleotides) under human oral metagenome. RNAcentral's name for it is "bacterial LSU rRNA". It matches the Rfam family "Bacterial large subunit ribosomal RNA", at positions 187 to 2512 of the family's 2925-position model. The record is from RNAcentral.
GGGGAACUGAAACAUCUUAGUACCCAUAGGAAGAGAAAAUAAAAAUGAUUCCGUAAGUAGUGGCGAGCGAAAGCGGAAAAGCCCAAACCUGAGUGAGCAAUCACUAACAGGGGUUAGGACAUGCAACAAAUUCCAAGAAAGAGUGUAGUAGAAGUGUUUUGGGAAAGCACACCAAAGAGAGUGAAAGUCUCGUAUACGAAACACGAAAGAAGGAAGAGUAUGAUCCAGAGUAAGACAGGACACGAGAAAUCCUGUGUGAAUGAGCGGGGACCAUCCCGUAAGGCUAAAUACUACUUGGUGACCGAUAGUGAAAUAGUACCGUGAGGGAAAGGUGAAAAGAACCCCGGGAGGGGAAUGAAAUAGAAUCUGAAACCCUAUGCUUACAAGCAGAUAGAGCACGUUAAAGUGUGAUAUCGUACUUUUUGCAGAACGGUCCGGCGAGUUACUGUAUAUGGCAAGGAGAAGAGUUUAAGACUAAUAUCCGAAGCGAAAGCGAGUCUGAAUAGGGCGAAGUUAAGUCAUAUGUAGUAGACCCGAAACCGAGUGACCUAUCCAUGUCCAGGAUGAAGCUAGAGUGAAAUCUAGUGGAGGUCCGCACCAGUAGACGUUGAAAAGUCUUUGGAUGAGGUGUGGAUAGCGGAGAAAUUCUAAUCGAACUCGGAUAUAGCUGGUUCUCCUCGAAAUAGCUUUAGGGCUAGCCUUGAACAAAAACCGUAUGGGGGUAGAGCACUGAAUGAGCUAGGGGCCAAACAAAGGUUACCAAACUUUAUCAAACUGCGAAUACCAUAAGGGAAGUUCAGGAGUCAGACUACGGGAGCUAAGUUCCGUGGUCAAAAGGGAAAGAGCCCAGACCGUCAAUUAAGGUCCCUAAGAUAUAACUAAGUGGAAAACGAUGUGAUUUUGCGCAGACAACCAGGAUGUUGGCUUAGAAGCAGCCAUUCAUUUAAAGAGUGCGUAAUAGCUCACUGGUCGAGUGAAGUUGCGCGGAAAAUUACCGGGGCUAAGUUAUACACCGAAAUUGCGGAUUCAUUAAGAAAUUAAUGAGUGGUAGAGGAGCGUUCUAUACAGGAUGAAGUAUGAUCGAGAGGACAUAUGGACAGUAUAGAAGAGAGAAUGCCGGAAUGAGUAGCGAGAGCAAAGUGAGAAUCUUUGCCGUCGAAAAUCUAAGGUUUCCUGGGGAAGGUUCGUCCGCCCAGGGUAAGUCGGGACCUAAGGUGAGGCCGAAGGGCGUAGCCGAUGGACAGCAGGUUAAGAUUCCUGCACCAGUAUACAUGUAUAAUGCAUAAGAGGACACAUUUGAAGAAGAUGAGCGAGGAAGAGGAAAAACUCGUAUGGCAACAUAUAGUGAAAUUAAGUAACGAAUCAUCAAGAGGCAAGUGGCGAGAAAAGUUUUAUGUAGUUGUGUAGACUGCCCGUACCGCAAACCGACACAGGUAGAUGAGGAGAGGAUCCUAAGACGAGCGGGAGAAGCAUUGUUAAGGAACUCGGCAAAUUGACCCCGUAACUUAGGGAUAAGGGGUGCUGGUGUAAAAACCAGUCGCAGUAAAUAGGCCCAAGCAACUGUUUAACAAAAACACAGGUUUCUGCUAAAUCGCAAGAUGAAGUAUAGGAGCUGACUCCUGCCCAGUGCUGGAAGGUUAAGGGGAAAGGUUAGGAAUAAUUCAUUAUAUCCGAAGCUUUGAACUCAAGCCCCAGUGAACGGCGGCCGUAACUAUAACGGUCCUAAGGUAGCGAAAUUCCUUGUCAGGUAAGUUCUGACCCGCACGAAAGGAGUAAUGAUUUGGGCACUGUCUCAACAAUGUACCCGGCGAAAUUGUAGUACUAGUGAAGAUGCUAGUUACCUGCGACAAGACGGAAAGACCCCAUGGAGCUUUACUAUAGCCUGAUAUUGGGCUUUGGUAUCUUAUGUACAGGAUAGGUGGGAGACUAUGAGAUUAAGACGCAAGUCUUAAAGGAGUCAACCUUGGAAUACCACCCUUAAGAUAUUAGAGUUCUAACUUGUGAUCAUAAACUGGUCAGAGGACAUUGUCAGGUGGGUAGUUUGACUGGGGCGGUCACCUCCUAAAGAGUAACGGAGGUGCGCAAAGGUUUCCUCGGCACGGUCAGAAAUCGUGCUAAUGAGUGUAAAGGCAUAAGGAAGCUUAACUGAGAGAGAGACAUCUCGAGCAGAUACGAAAGUAGGUCUUAGUGAUCCGGUGGUAGAAAAUGGAAUUGCCAUCGCUCAACGGAUAAAAGUUACCCUGGGGAUAACAGGCUUAUCUCCCCCAAGAGUUCACAUCGACGGG